This 497-nucleotide ribosomal RNA is filed under the name uncultured bacterium. RNAcentral describes it as "partial 16S ribosomal RNA". It matches the Rfam family "Bacterial small subunit ribosomal RNA", at positions 28 to 507 of the family's 1533-position model. The record is from RNAcentral.
GACGAACGCUGGCGGCGUGCCUAAUACAUGCAAGUUGAGCGCUGAAGGUUGGUACUUGUACCAACUGGAUGAGCAGCGAACGGGUGAGUAACGCGUGGGGAAUCUGCCUUUGAGCGGGGGACAACAUUUGGAAACGAAUGCUAAUACCGCAUAAAAACUUUAAACACAAGUUUUAAGUUUGAAAGAUGCAAUUGCAUCACUCAAAGAUGAUCCCGCGUUGUAUUAGCUAGUUGGUGAGGUAAAGGCUCACCAAGGCGAUGAUACAUAGCCGACCUGAGAGGGUGAUCGGCCACAUUGGGACUGAGACACGGCCCAAACUCCUACGGGGGGCAGCAGUAGGGAAUCUUCGGCAAUGGACGAAAGUCUGACCGAGCAACGCCGCGUGAGUGAAGAAGGGUUUCGGAUCGUAAAACUCUGUUGGUAGAGAAGAACGUUGGUGAGAGUGGAAAGCUCAUCAAGUGACGGUAACUACCCAGAAAGGGACGGCUAACUACGUG